This is a long non-coding RNA of Thalassophryne amazonica, 130 nucleotides long. RefSeq lists it as uncharacterized. NCBI's taxonomy places the organism in Eukaryota, Metazoa, Chordata, Actinopteri, Batrachoidiformes, Batrachoididae. The record is from RefSeq and is a predicted model, not a curated record. The transcript is spliced from 3 exons.
UGUUGCUGGAGAGUGGCCUUUAUUCAUUCACUUUCUGCUACUUAUCCAGGUCUGGAUUGCAGUGGCAGCAGAUUAAGCAGCUCAUUCCACACUUCCCUAUCCUUGGCCAAGUCCUCCAACUCUUGCUGGG